UUGAGGCACACUUACACACCAAAGACUUUUCUCCAAAAUAUUAUUAUUAAGAUAUUCACUCGAAAUACGAACACUAAGAACCUAGAGAGUGGAUUGUCGUGGACCUAAGUAUUCACUCGUCCUCAUACUCAUUAUCUUCAUAAUCCUGAGCCGGAUAUUCAUAAUCUCUAUAAAACCAUGGAUAGUACUCGUCUUCUUUGAAUUAAAACCACAACACUCUCUCCUCUUCAUAAUCCUUAUCUCCUCACUUAUCAUAGAAGUCAGAAUGAAUCCGUCUUCAGUGGAAAAACCUACGCAGGGGGCGUACACAAUUCCGCCGCCAAUUGGUUAUCCGACCAGAGAUGUGGCUGGUGGUGAUCCCGUGGUAGCCGCAGUGGAGACCAAGUCCAAAGGCGAUGAUGAAUGUUCUUUUAAAAAAAUGUAAAUAUUUCUUUAAAUUUACGUUCUUCUUUGCUAGAAAAAAAUACUUUUUGUAUUUAUAGAUUAGUUGCUUUUAGUUAUACGUUAAUCAUUUGCAGAAUAUUCACACAGCGCUCAAAUGUAUUUUUUUUUGUUUUGUUUUUAGUGAUCUGAUUGUGUAGAUUUUAGAGAUGUGAUUUCUCCAUUUUUUGGGGGUUUUAAAAUAUUUAACUCAUCAGACAUUUUUUUAUAGAUUUGUUUUCAUUAUGUCAGACGAGAUUAAAAUUUUAAACCUAGGGUUUUCUUUUAAAAAGAAUUGUCUAAUUUCACCAACUCAGUUUCUUUUUCAGAAAAAAUCCAACUUCAAGUUUUCAGCUCAAACUGUUUUUCCUUUUCCAACUGAGCAGCCAAAGUAAAUUAAAAUUGUUUCGCACUUUGCUAUAUGAAAACCUCGCUUUUUCUAGUAUUUCGGAAGAUAUGUUACUGUUUUAAUUAUUACAAUAUCAUAUUUCCUACA
This is a long non-coding RNA of Brassica rapa (field mustard), 916 nucleotides long. RefSeq lists it as uncharacterized. The record is from RefSeq and is a predicted model, not a curated record. NCBI's taxonomy places the organism in Eukaryota, Viridiplantae, Streptophyta, Magnoliopsida, Brassicales, Brassicaceae.